UUAUCAUGGUUCCUUUAGGAACCCAAGUCAGUUUGUUUGGACUUAUUUUCUUGAAUGGACAAUAAUGCGUCUUGUGUCCAAAUUUGUAACAAAAGUUGCAUUUGGUUUUGUGUUGAACAUGUAAGAUGGGGCCUUUUAUGAAGGUGGUUGGAUUUAGGUGAGGACUUCUCACAAAUCCAAUUCCACUCCUUUUUGGAACGUGACCCUUGUUUGCAAGGAUCAUGUUCAAUGACUUGCUACC
Molecule: long non-coding RNA, 241 nt
Filed under: Musa acuminata (dwarf banana)
Lineage: Eukaryota; Viridiplantae; Streptophyta; Magnoliopsida; Zingiberales; Musaceae
Description: long non-coding RNA (MACU_LNC010062)
Source: RNAcentral